RNAcentral lists this ribosomal RNA (2384 nucleotides) under Acinetobacter baumannii. RNAcentral describes it as "partial 23S ribosomal RNA". It matches the Rfam family "Bacterial large subunit ribosomal RNA", at positions 1 to 2421 of the family's 2925-position model. Lineage: Bacteria; Pseudomonadati; Pseudomonadota; Gammaproteobacteria; Moraxellales; Moraxellaceae. The record is from RNAcentral.
AGUCAAGUAAUUAAGUGCAUGUGGUGGAUGCCUUGGCAGUCAGAGGCGAUGAAAGACGUGAUAGCCUGCGAAAAGCUCCGGGGAGGCGGCAAAUAUCCUUUGAUCCGGAGAUGUCUGAAUGGGGGAACCCACCUACUUUAAGGUAGGUAUUGCAACAUGAAUACAUAGUGUUGCAAGGCGAACGAGGGGAAGUGAAACAUCUCAGUACCCUUAGGAAAAGAAAUCAAUUGAGAUUCCCUCAGUAGCGGCGAGCGAACGGGGAUCAGCCCAUUAAGUUAUGUGUGUUUUAGUGGAACGCUCUGGGAAGUGCGAACGUAGAGGGUGAUAUUCCCGUACACGAAAGGGCACACAUAAUGAUGACGAGUAGGGCGAGGCACGUGAAACCUUGUCUGAAUAUGGGGGGACCAUCCUCCAAGGCUAAAUACUCCUGACUGACCGAUAGUGAACCAGUACCGUGAGGGAAAGGCGAAAAGAACCCCUGUGAGGGGAGUGAAAUAGAUCCUGAAACCGCAUGCAUACAAGCAGUGGGAGCACCUUCGUGGUGUGACUGCGUACCUUUUGUAUAAUGGGUCAGCGACUUAUAUUCAGUAGCGAGGUUAACCGUAUAGGGGAGCCGUAGAGAAAUCGAGUCUUAAUAGGGCGUUUAGUUGCUGGGUAUAGACCCGAAACCAGGCGAUCUAUCCAUGAGCAGGUUGAAGGUUGGGUAACACUAACUGGAGGACCGAACCCACUGUCGUUGAAAAGCCAGGGGAUGACUUGUGGAUAGGGGUGAAAGGCUAAUCAAGCCUGGUGAUAGCUGGUUCUCCCCGAAAGCUAUUUAGGUAGCGCCUCGGACGAAUACCAUAGGGGGUAGAGCACUGUUUCGGCUAGGGGGUCAUCCCGACUUACCAAACCGAUGCAAACUCCGAAUACCUAUGAGUACUAUCCGGGAGACAGACUGCGGGUGCUAACGUCCGUAGUCAAGAGGAAAACAAUCCAGACCGCCAGCUAAGGCCCCAAAAUCAUAGUUAAGUGGGAAACGAUGUGGGAAGGCAUAGACAGCUAGGAGGUUGGCUUAGAAGCAGCCACCCUUUAAAGAAAGCGUAAUAGCUCACUAGUCGAGUCGGCCUGCGCGGAAGAUGUAACGGGGCUAAAACUAUGUGCCGAAGCUGCGGAUGUAUACUUUGUAUACGUGGUAGGGGAGCGUUCUGUAAGCCGAUGAAGGUGUGUUGAGAAGCAUGCUGGAGGUAUCAGAAGUGCGAAUGCUGACGUGAGUAACGACAAAACGGGUGAAAAACCCGUUCGCCGAAAGACCAAGGGUUCCAGUCCAACGUUAAUCGGGGCUGGGUGAGUCGACCCCUAAGGCGAGGCCGAAAGGCGUAGUCGAUGGGAAAAUGGUUAAUAUUCCAUUACUUCUGUGUAAUGCGAUGAGAGGACGGAGAAGGCUAAAUCAGCCUGGCGUUGGUUGUCCAGGUGAAAGGAUGUAGGCAUGUAUCUUAGGCAAAUCCGGGGUACUCUAUGCUGAGAUCUGAUAGCAAGCUGUACUUGUACAGCGAAGUGGUUGAUGCCAUGCUUCCAGGAAAAGUCUCUAAGCUUCAGUUACACAGGAAUCGUACCCGAAACCGACACAGGUGGUCAGGUCGAGUAGACCAAGGCGCUUGAGAGAACUCUGCUGAAGGAACUAGGCAAAAUGGUACCGUAACUUCGGGAGAAGGUACGCUGUUGUUGGUGAUGGAACUCGCUUCCUGAGCUGACGACAGCCGCAGAAACCAGGCCGCUGCAACUGUUUAUUAAAAACAUAGCACUCUGCAAACACGAAAGUGGACGUAUAGGGUGUGAUGCCUGCCCGGUGCUGGAAGGUUAAUUGAUGGGGUUAGCGUAAGCGAAGCUCUUGAUCGAAGCCCCAGUAAACGGCGGCCGUAACUAUAACGGUCCUAAGGUAGCGAAAUUCCUUGUCGGGUAAGUUCCGACCUGCACGAAUGGCAUAAUGAUGGCGGCGCUGUCUCCAGCAGAGGCUCAGUGAAAUCGAAAUCGCUGUGAAGAUGCAGUGUACCCGCGGCUAGACGGAAAGACCCCGUGAACCUUUACUGCAGCUUGACACUGAACUUUGACCUUACUUGUGUAGGAUAGGUGGGAGGCUUUGAAGCUGGAACGCUAGUUCCAGUGGAGCCGUCCUUGAAAUACCACCCUGGUAAUGUUGAGGUUCUAACUCUGUCCCGUGAUCCGGGACGAGGACCGUGUCUGGUGGGUAGUUUGACUGGGGCGGUCUCCUCCUAAAGAGUAACGGAGGAGUACGAAGGUGCGCUCAGCGUGGUCGGAAAUCACGCGUAGAGUAUAAAGGCAAAAGCGCGCUUAACUGCGAGACCCACAAGUCGAGCAGGUACGAAAGUAGGUCUUAGUGAUCC